RNAcentral lists this ribosomal RNA (712 nucleotides) under Brevibacterium sp. KLBMP 1317. RNAcentral's name for it is "bacterial SSU rRNA". It matches the Rfam family "Bacterial small subunit ribosomal RNA", at positions 86 to 813 of the family's 1533-position model. The record is from RNAcentral. Lineage: Bacteria; Bacillati; Actinomycetota; Actinomycetes; Micrococcales; Brevibacteriaceae.
GGUGGAUGAGUGGCGAACGGGUGAGUAACACGUGAGUAACCUGCCCCUGAUUUCGGGAUAAGCCUGGGAAACCGGGUCUAAUACCGGAUACGACCAACCCUCGCAUGAGGGUUGGUGGAAAGUUUUUCGAUCAGGGAUGGGCUCGCGGCCUAUCAGCUUGUUGGUGGGGUAAUGGCCCACCAAGGCGACGACGGGUAGCCGGCCUGAGAGGGCGACCGGCCACACUGGGACUGAGACACGGCCCAGACUCCUACGGGAGGCAGCAGUGGGGAAUAUUGCACAAUGGGGGAAACCCUGAUGCAGCGACGCAGCGUGCGGGAUGACGGCCUUCGGGUUGUAAACCGCUUUCAGCAGGGAAGAAGCGAAAGUGACGGUACCUGCAGAAGAAGUACCGGCUAACUACGUGCCAGCAGCCGCGGUAAUACGUAGGGUACGAGCGUUGUCCGGAAUUAUUGGGCGUAAAGAGCUCGUAGGUGGUUGGUCACGUCUGCUGUGGAAACGCAACGCUUAACGUUGCGCGUGCAGUGGGUACGGGCUGACUAGAGUGCAGUAGGGGAGUCUGGAAUUCCUGGUGUAGCGGUGAAAUGCGCAGAUAUCAGGAGGAACACCGGUGGCGAAGGCGGGACUCUGGGCUGUAACUGACACUGAGGAGCGAAAGCAUGGGGAGCGAACAGGAUUAGAUACCCUGGUAGUCCAUGCCGUAAACGUUGGG